Thalassophryne amazonica is the source of this 378-nucleotide long non-coding RNA. RefSeq lists it as uncharacterized. NCBI's taxonomy places the organism in Eukaryota, Metazoa, Chordata, Actinopteri, Batrachoidiformes, Batrachoididae. The record is from RefSeq and is a predicted model, not a curated record. The transcript is spliced from 2 exons.
CUAGUCAACGUGCUGGAAGCUGUUUUCAAGCCAGAAGUUCUCUGAUCCAGAGCAGGUUUUCAACAAACAUGUCUAAAGCCCAACAGCUGAGGGACAGACUGAAACAACUGACAACAGCUGCUGAUGAAGUAUUUGAAUUGUUAGCAGGAUUGAUCGCAAACUAUGAAGAAGAAAUUCAUAAUUUAAAAGAAGAAAACAAAGGACGGAAUGUUCUGGAAGCUGCUUUUAAUCCUCGAGUUCACUUGUACAAAGCAGGUUUGUUCACUUAACAUUGUAUUACUUUUAGCCCAUAACAGGCUGUUAUGACUGUCAAAUAUUUUCCUAAUCAGGUAUUCAACCAGUAAUUUUGCGAAUACUUGUGCAGUAGGAUGAGAAUGA